Molecule: ribosomal RNA, 635 nt
Filed under: Ceratobaeus sp. 4 NM-2013
Lineage: Eukaryota; Metazoa; Arthropoda; Insecta; Hymenoptera; Scelionidae
Description: eukaryotic LSU rRNA
Rfam family: Eukaryotic large subunit ribosomal RNA
Source: RNAcentral
CCCGAAAUAUCGAAUGAGGAGAUUCAUCGUCAGCGUGUUUAGUUUCCAUGCGUUUAGUGAUGACACACAUUCGUUGUGGUAUAUCUGAUUACGUCGGCGUGCACUUCUCCUCUAGUAGAACGUUGCGACCCGCUGGGUGUUGGCUUAAGGACUGAGAUGUUGACUGUUUUCGUUCGUUUACGCGUUCUGUUGACAGACACUUGGAUUUCUGGCUGACUGCUCGGCGGUAUACACAAGGUAUUGAGCCGCACUUUGAAUGCGUUCAGACUCGUUUACAAGCUAAUCAUAAAUAACUUAAGGGUGCGGACCUAGUGCCGUCCUUAAGGAUGGUUGGCUGUUGGUGAAUGAUGUUCUCGAACUGGCUAAAUACCGGUCAGCGACGCUAUUGCUUUGGGUACUUUCAGGACCCGUCUUGAAACACGGACCAAGGAGUCUAACAUGUGCGCAGUCAUUGGGUUAUUUAAACCUAAAGGCGCAUUGAAAGAGAAGAUCGGCCUUGUGUCGAUUGAGGGAAGAUAGGCAAUGUUAAAUAUUGCUUCGCACUCCCGGGGUGUCUCGUAGUCAUUGCGACUUGAGGCGCACCCAGAGCGUACACGUUGGGACCCGAAGAUGGUGAACUAUGCCUGGUCAGGAUG